UGGUGGUGCAGAGAGUUUGAUCCUGGCUCAGAUUGAACGCUGGCGGCAGGCCUAACACAUGCAAGUCGAGCGGAUGAGAGGAGCUUGCUCCUUGAUUUAGCGGCGGACGGGUGAGUAAUGCCUAGGAAUCUGCCUGGUAGUGGGGGAUAACGUUCCGAAAGGAACGCUAAUACCGCAUACGUCCUACGGGAGAAAGCAGGGGACCUUCGGGCCUUGCGCUAUCAGAUGAGCCUAGGUCGGAUUAGCUAGUUGGUGAGGUAAUGGCUCACCAAGGCGACGAUCCGUAACUGGUCUGAGAGGAUGAUCAGUCACACUGGAACUGAGACACGGUCCAGACUCCUACGGGAGGCAGCAGUGGGGAAUAUUGGACAAUGGGCGAAAGCCUGAUCCAGCCAUGCCGCGUGUGUGAAGAAGGUCUUCGGAUUGUAAAGCACUUUAAGUUGGGAGGAAGGGCAUUAACCUAAUACGU
This 469-nucleotide ribosomal RNA is filed under the name Pseudomonas sp. gl06. RNAcentral's name for it is "bacterial SSU rRNA". It matches the Rfam family "Bacterial small subunit ribosomal RNA", at positions 1 to 468 of the family's 1533-position model. Lineage: Bacteria; Pseudomonadati; Pseudomonadota; Gammaproteobacteria; Pseudomonadales; Pseudomonadaceae. The record is from RNAcentral.